This 439-nucleotide ribosomal RNA is filed under the name uncultured bacterium. RNAcentral describes it as "partial 16S ribosomal RNA". It matches the Rfam family "Bacterial small subunit ribosomal RNA", at positions 338 to 795 of the family's 1533-position model. The record is from RNAcentral.
CCUACGGGAGGCAGCAGUGAGGGAUAUUGGUCAAUGGGGGAAACCCUGAACCAGCAACGCCGCGUGAGGGAAGACGGUUUUCGGAUUGUAAACCUCUGUCCUCUGUGAAGAUAAUGACGGUAGCAGAGGAGGAAGCUCCGGCUAACUACGUGCCAGCAGCCGCGGUAAUACGUAGGGAGCAAGCGUUGUCCGGAUUUAGUGGGUUUAAAGGGUGCGUAGGCGGGCUUUUAAGUCAGCGGUAAAAAUUCGGUGCUCAACCCCGUACGGCCGUUGAAACGGGGGGCCUUGAUUGGGCGAGAAGAAGGCGGAAUGCGUGGUGUAGCGGUGAAAUGCAUAGAUAUCACGCAGAACCCCGAUUGCGAAGGCAGCCUUCCGGCGCCCUACUGACGCUGAGGCACGAAAGUGCGGGGAUCGAACAGGAUUAGAUACCCCUGUAGUC